Molecule: long non-coding RNA, 3079 nt
Organism: Fukomys damarensis (Damara mole-rat)
Lineage: Eukaryota; Metazoa; Chordata; Mammalia; Rodentia; Bathyergidae
Source: Ensembl
AUGAGGGGUCCUGGAUGGCACUGUCUGGUCCCUGCAGGUGACCUCCCUGGCCACAGCUCCAGCUCUUUCCUUCCCACCAGCUUCAAAGACUGUUUUGCCUGCCAGCCCCAGCCCUUGGCGCAGAGAGGAGUGCACGAGCCAUGGGACCAUGCAGGGAUUGCUUUAGGCUAUGAGGUCAGGACCACACCGCCUAGAGGAACAUGUGGGCAAACCAGUCUCCAGGGUGAUGGUGUGACAGAGGUGACCAGCAUGUACCCCGCGGGGCUUCCUCCCCAUCUCCCUGCCCCCAGCCUCACACUGUGCCCCCGAGCCUGCUCAUGGUGGCAUGGCUGCCCAUUCACCUCCAAUCCUGCCAGGACAUUGGCUUCCUCCACUCUAGACCCCUCCUGCUCCUCCUGGCUCCCCCAGGCCCGUUGUGAUCAUGUCCAUGCUGGACUGGCCUGGGCUCCCUUCCUCCUGCAUAGCCGGCCGUCUAUCCCCCUCCGUCCAUAGCGCCCUCACUGAGCAGGGUGGUUGUCUGCAUGGUGCCCUCCAGGGAUGCACAGAGCCAUUGCCUCACCCUGUCCAGCUCUUGCCCCAGGGAGAAGAGGCUGGAAGGGCAUGUGCAGCUGUGGGCUUGGUGGCAGCUGCCCUGAUGCGGUCUCUCUCUCCUCACCUCCAGGAUGGCUCUAGCCAAGCCUCUGCUGCUUGACUUGUUCCCAUGCAGCCGCUGUGCUGCUUCCUCCAGGCAGCCAGAGGUAGGCGCUGUUCCCUCCAUAGUGAUGGGAGGCAGAGCCCCAGGGCCAGGCUGCAGGUGCAGGUGCAGGUGCUCUGGACUCUUGGCUCACAGGAGCACACACCAGGGAUGAGACGAGUGGGACAGGGUGAGUGUGCUCUGGCCCCACUGCUGUGGCAUCAAGGGCAGUGGCUGGGGACUCACAGUGCCUGGCAUGGGAACAGAUCCAGGUCAGAGCUGGAGCUGCAGGUGGCUGCAUUGUCCUCUCAGCACACCUGACCCAGGCCCAAGAGCCUACAGCUCAUGCAUUGCUCACCCCUCAGCUUGGCCCCUUCCUGGGGACUGGCAGUGCCUGCUGCCCUCCAGCCCUGACACACUCACUGCAGACAUGCCUUUGGUGACCAGGCUGCUGUCCCCGGGUUCACACCACACCACCAGAGUAGAAAGGAGGCCGUUCCAGACUGCUUCCCCACACACACAGCAUUGGUCUCCCUGGCUCCUCACUGGGAUGUGGCGCUGCACAGAGGCUUCGCCCUGGGGUGCCAGCCCAAUGUGGGCACCAUUUGCACCCGUCUCUCACUGGGUGUCGCACCCUGGCCUCCCUUGUCUCCUGUGGCCCCCCUUAUAUGGCAGUUCACCCUUCCACCACUUUAAAGGGGUCUGGUGAGCACACCAGCCCUGUGUGGCACCAAGGACCCUCAGCACGUGUCCCUCCUCCAUCACCAGAUGCUGUCGCAUUGGUGUCACUCGGCACACGCAGAGGCCAGGUGUGCAGUCGUCCCUGCCAUCCACCCAGGCACACGGGGCCAUAAGGCCACAGAUGAUCCCAAGUUCUGGCCAGGGAGCAGGGGUUCUUGGAACCUGAUGAACUUGGCUCACAGGACUGUGGGGCCAUCCGGAGAUCAGAAAUUUUCCAUCCAAUCACUGGUGGCGUCUCCUGAGUGCCAUGCCAGCACACAGCUCUGCCUACAGGCAUGCGUGCCAGCCCCUGCCAGCCUGAGGCUGCAAGGCAGAGGCUGCAGUUUUUUCCUUGAAAGGUAGGCAGCCUCGCAGAGACAGGCCAGCCCUCCCAGAGUGGGUGGGACAGACCCUGCUAGGCCGAGCCAUGGGCCAUGCCAGACAGGCGUCCUGCGACCUCCUCCCUUGCAUGCAGGGUGACAGGCAAUGAGUGGCCUUCCUUGCAGCUUCAAGGGCUGGGGAUUUAGUUCAGUGGUUCUGCUGCUUGCUUCACAGGUGCAAGGUCCCAAGUUUGAUCCCCAGUACCAAAAAAAAAAAAAAAAAAAAAAAAAAAAAAAAAAAAAAAAGGCAGCUUCGGGAAAAGCUCCAGAGCUUGAAGGCUUUUUUUUUGAAACAAGGUCUUGAACUCAUGGCAGUCCUGCUGCCUUAGUGUCCCAAGAGCUGAAAUCACAGGUGUGCACACCACACCCGGCUCCUAAAGCUCUUACCCUCCUGGAAGGCCUGGCUCGAGUGAGGCAGCAGUGCAAGGUCCAUGGCUCGGGAGGGAAGAGGGUCGGGCCAGGGCUGCUGCUGUCUUCUGGGCCAUCUUGGUGGGGUGGGAAUCAGCUUUCUUGCUAGCAUGCAACCCAGGGCGGUGGGCAGAGCUUGCCUUGAAGGCAGACAUUUUUCACAGGGCUUGGCAAGAAGAAAGAUUCAGUCAGAGACUUAAAAAAUGAGGCAUCUGGUCUGGGAAUUUAGCUCAGUGGCGCCUGCGCUUACCUCGCAAGCACAAGGUCCUGAGUUCGAUCUCCAGUGCCAGAAAAAAGGAAAAAAAAAACAAAACAGAUUUUAUACGGCACAGGAAAUGAGAUGGCUUCAGACUCAUCCCCAUAAGCAUGGCGACCCAGGCAUGUGGCUGAGGGUCUCGCUUGCUCAGUGCUUUUCGGAAGCACCAGAGCCGGGCACCUCCUGUCCUAUUGCGGCCAACCCGCUUGUCUUCCUGGACGGCAGAGGCUCCACUGGCCAUGCCCAGGACAGCUGACCCUCUCAUCCCAUGUCCCUGAGGGGACUGCCAUCCUCUGCUAGGGACUGGGUGACAGAUACUGUCAUCUCACACAGUGCUAAGCACCCGAGGGCCACACAGCAGGGCCAGCCCCAGGCCAGGCAAUCACCACCUCUGUUCAGAGGGGACCAGAAGUUCAAAUAUCCCCUGGCAUCUAGUUUCUCACCACUGGAGAUUGAAGCAGCUUCUCUACUGGCCACAUCCUUUUCUUUUUUGGAGACAGGGUCUUGCUAAAUUGCCCAGGCUGGGCUCAGAUUUGCAGUCCUCCUGCCUCAGCCUCCCAGAGCAUUGGGAUUACAGGAAUGCACCAGCAUGCAUGGCUCCCAUAUUCUUUUUUUUUUUUUUUUGUGCCCGGGAUUGAAAUC